RNAcentral lists this ribosomal RNA (496 nucleotides) under uncultured bacterium. Its description in RNAcentral is "partial 16S ribosomal RNA". It matches the Rfam family "Bacterial small subunit ribosomal RNA", at positions 30 to 523 of the family's 1533-position model. The record is from RNAcentral.
AUUGAACGCUGGCGGAAUGCUUUACACAUGCAAGUCGAACGGUAGAGGGGGCAACCCCUCGAGAGUGGCGAACGGGUGAGUAAUAUAUCGGAACGUGCCCAGUCGUGGGGGAUAACGUAGCGAAAGUUACGCUAAUACCGCAUACGAUCUAAGGAUGAAAGCGGGGGAUCGCAAGACCUCGCGCGAGUGGAGCGGCCGAUAUCAGAUUAGGUAGUUGGUGGGGUAAAGGCUCACCAAGCCAACGAUCUGUAGUUGGUCUGAGAGGACGACCAGCCACACUGGAACUGAGACACGGUCCAGACUCCUACGGGAGGCAGCAGUGGGGAAUUUUGGACAAUGGACGCAAGUCUGAUCCAGCCAUUCCGCGUGCAGGAUGAAGGCCCUCGGGUUGUAAACUGCUUUUGUACGGAACGAAAAGGUCUCUCUUAAUACGGGGGACUCAUGACGGUACCGUAAGAAUAAGCACCGGCUAACUACGUGCCAGCAGCCGCCGUAA